GACAGAGGGUGCAAACGUUGUUCGGAAUUACUGGGCGUAAAGCGCGUGUAGGCGGCUCGGCAAGUCGGGUGUGAAAGCCCUGGGCUCAACCCAGGAAGUGCAUUCGAAACUUCCGAGCUGGAGUCCUGGAGAGGAAGGCGGAAUUCUCGGUGUAGAGGUGAAAUUCGUAGAUAUCGAGAGGAACACCGGUGGCGAAGGCGGCCUUCUGGACAGUGACUGACGCUGAGACGCGAAAGCGUGGGGAGCGAUCCGG
RNAcentral lists this ribosomal RNA (253 nucleotides) under uncultured bacterium. Its description in RNAcentral is "partial 16S ribosomal RNA". It matches the Rfam family "Bacterial small subunit ribosomal RNA", at positions 524 to 776 of the family's 1533-position model. The record is from RNAcentral.